AAAUAAUGAGGGCGCAAUUUCAAUCUCACGCACGCACUCUGACAGCAAUGCAUGCGGCAAUAAUGCAAAGACAUCCACGACAGUAUAAAUAACCAUGCCACCUUCAAGCAAGAUUAACAGGCCACAAACGGAUUUACAAAAAAAUCAUGCGAGACGAAGGCGGUUAAAAACCCUUCAAAAACAAAAGAAGAAGCAACAAGUCAAAGAGCCAGAAAACAAAGAAAAGGAUAAAAGUGUUGUUCUAAAUUUUCAUCGAAGACGGAAACGGUAGGAAACUGAUUCAGAUUUUCA
This is a long non-coding RNA of Anneissia japonica, 291 nucleotides long. RefSeq lists it as uncharacterized. The transcript is spliced from 3 exons. NCBI's taxonomy places the organism in Eukaryota, Metazoa, Echinodermata, Crinoidea, Comatulida, Comatulidae. The record is from RefSeq and is a predicted model, not a curated record.